Molecule: ribosomal RNA, 253 nt
Filed under: uncultured bacterium
Lineage: Bacteria
Description: partial 16S ribosomal RNA
Rfam family: Bacterial small subunit ribosomal RNA
Source: RNAcentral
UACGAAGGGGGCUAGCGUUGCUCGGAAUCACUGGGCGUAAAGCGCACGUAGGCGGACUCUUAAGUCAGGGGUGAAAUCCUGGAGCUCAACUCCAGAACUGCCUUUGAUACUGGGAGUCUUGAGUUCGGGAGAGGUGAGUGGAACUGCGAGUGUAGAGGUGAAAUUCGUAGAUAUUCGCAAGAACACCAGUGGCGAAGGCGGCUCACUGGCCCAUAACUGACGCUGAGGCACGAAAGCGUGGGGAGCAAACAGG